GACGUAGGAUGCAAGCAUUGUCCGGAUUUAUUGGGCGUAAAGAGUUCGUAGGCGGUUUGUUAAGUCUAAUGUUAAAGAUCAGGGCUCAACCCUGGGACUGCAUUGGAUACUGGCAGACUGGAGUGUGGUAGAGGUAAGUGGAAUUUCUGGUGUAGCGGUGAAAUGCGUAGAUAUCAGAAAGAACACCAGUGGCGUAGGCGACUUACUGGGCCAUAACUGACGCUGAGGAACGAAAGCCAGGGGAGCAAAUGGG
This 253-nucleotide ribosomal RNA is filed under the name uncultured bacterium. RNAcentral's name for it is "partial 16S ribosomal RNA". It matches the Rfam family "Bacterial small subunit ribosomal RNA", at positions 524 to 776 of the family's 1533-position model. The record is from RNAcentral.